Molecule: ribosomal RNA, 538 nt
Filed under: uncultured bacterium
Lineage: Bacteria
Description: bacterial SSU rRNA
Rfam family: Bacterial small subunit ribosomal RNA
Source: RNAcentral
UGCAAGUCGAACGAGAGAUGAGGAGCUUGCUCUUCAAAUCGAGUGGCGAACGGGUGAGUAACGCGUGAGGAACCUGCCUCAAAGAGGGGGACAACAGUUGGAAACGACUGCUAAUACCGCAUAAGCCCACGGCUCGGCAUCGAGCAGAGGGAAAAGGAGCAAUCCGCUUUGAGAUGGCCUCGCGUCCGAUUAGCUAGUUGGUGAGGUAACGGCCCACCAAGGCGACGAUCGGUAGCCGGACUGAGAGGUUGAACGGCCACAUUGGGACUGAGACACGGCCCAGACUCCUACGGGAGGCAGCAGUGGGGAAUAUUGCACAAUGGGGGAAGCCCUGAUGCAGCGACGCCGCGUGGAGGAAGGAGGUCUUCGGAUUGUAAACUCCUGUUGUUGAGGAAGAUAAUGACGGUACUCAACAAGGAAGUGACGGCUAACUACGUGCCAGCAGCCGCGGUAAAACGUAGGUCACAAGCGUUGUCCGGAAUUACUGGGUGUAAAGGGAGCGCAGGCGGGAGAACAAGUUGGAAGUGAAAUCCAUGGG